RNAcentral lists this long non-coding RNA (1776 nucleotides) under Takifugu rubripes (torafugu). RNAcentral's name for it is "lncRNA (ENSTRUG00000028522.1)". The record is from RNAcentral. Lineage: Eukaryota; Metazoa; Chordata; Actinopteri; Tetraodontiformes; Tetraodontidae.
AUGAAAAGCGGCAAGACCACAAAAAACAUACUUUCGGAAGAGGUGUUGACUGCAGACACACUUCGUCCAUCAGUUGAUUUAUUUUUUGAAAGAAUUACAGUAGAACAGUGGAACUUAAUAACACUGGGUUUUCCUGAUGACGUGACUAAAAUGCUGUUAGCAGAUCUUAUUUUAGAUCUGAUAAGUUCUGUGAUUACAGCCAUAUUAACAGCAAUCCAAGAAGAUCCAAAUUCAAGGGGGAGUCUCAUGUCAGGAUUGGAUGAAAGGCUUCGAAAGAGCUUAUCUGAAGCAUUGCACAUACCCCAUCAUGCUGAUGAUGUUUCUAUAAGAUGCGUAACGGUCAUGAUCAAAGAAGAGGUUGAAGAAGGGCUGGAUGCAAUCUUCUCUGGUUCUCCUCAAAAAACCACCACCUUAUGUUCACUUAAUUCUAUCAUUCUUAUUGUCAGCAAUGUGAUGAAGAAGUCUGCAAAAAGGGUCAAAAAGUUCCUCAAACCCCGAAAGGUUAAACCGAGGAAGGAGUCUCCAUUUGACACUGCAGAUGUAGAAAAUGCAUUUGGUGAUGGUGGUCCUGAGUCAUCUCUCAGCAAAGAGUUAAAAGAAAUGGUCACUCCUAUUUUAGACAUAGUUCCAGAAAAGGAUUACGAAGGGGUCUUCACAGAGACCGCUACCGAGAUCCAGGCCCUAUCAGAAGACAUUGCCACCAUACUUACUGAAAACAAGGAGAAGAAGAAUCCCUUAAAACUUUGUAAACAAAAGAUCACAAAUUUCUUUGCCAAGUGUUUUCUGAACGUUUGGAUCCGUCGCUUGAUCAGCCAGCUGAGGAAACAACACCCCAGGCUGAGGAGAGGCGAUAGCAGUGAAUCAGUGAGGUCACUGGUAGUUGCCGUGACAUCACUGCUUGAUAAUGACACCUCAUUGGUUGAUGGGUUCCAGGAGUUGACCUCCAGCCAUAAGUCUGUUUUCCACCAAAGUACCAGUGAGUUAUUGUACAGCCACUUGUUGGCAGAGACUGGCAGUAAAGACACUGAGUGGAACGAAAGAUUAUAUGCUGACAUCAAGAAGAAGGCCUGGAAAUUUCAGGGGCUGGUAAACUGGUUCCUAAAAAAUCGGGUUUUCAGGAUCAUGGAAAAGAUGAAAAGUCUUUCACCAAUCCUGGGAGAUGCAGUAGAAGGUCCAGCGGUUGAUAAUGGCCGCAGGGUAGCAGUAGAAGACCUGUCAGAAGCAGCAGAACUUGAGGAGGAACUUGAAGGUACACCAUCUCCUCACUCUGCCAUUGAACAAGCUGAAGAAUUGGAUACAUUUUUAUGCGAGGAGGAACCAAGAGAAGAAGCUUCAGUUUCGCUUGAAAAACAUCGAGACAGUUAUGAACCCCCUUCGGUAAUUGGAGUGGAACCACAGCAAAUUAAGGAAAUGGAGUCAAUGAGAGCAUUUGUCCAGUUUUUAAUUGAAAAGACUUUUAAUCACAUUUACGAUGAAGCAAACAUUGUACCUCAGUACAACGAUGAAGUCCUCAGUGCUCUCCUUGCACACAUCUGGCCCCGAGUCUGGGAUAGUGAUGCAAAUCUAAGUCUGACAGAGAAAUCAUUUAAGAAGAUGGACAAAAUGAUCCACAAAGCCUUCUGUAAAAAGCUGGGCAAUCCGAACGAGGUCCUGUUCAUACUAAAGUACUCGGAGGAGUCAAUCAUUGAAGAACAUACAGUCCGUAUUGCCAAAGAACUCUUGAGACCAUCCAAAAAACUAAACAUCUUCCAGAGACUCUGCUGUUUCCUGGGCUGA